RNAcentral lists this ribosomal RNA (468 nucleotides) under uncultured bacterium. RNAcentral's name for it is "partial 16S ribosomal RNA". It matches the Rfam family "Bacterial small subunit ribosomal RNA", at positions 28 to 507 of the family's 1533-position model. The record is from RNAcentral.
GACGAACGCUGGCGGCGGGCUUAACACAUGCAAGUCGAACGGAAAGGCCCUGCUUUUGUGGGGUGCUCGAGUGGCGAACGGGUGAGUAACACGUGAGUAACCUGCCCUUGACUUUGGGAUAACUUCAGGAAACUGGGGCUAAUACCGGAUAGGAGCUCCUGCUGCAUGGUGGGGGUUGGAAAGUUUCGGCGGGUGGGGAUGGACGCGCGGCUUAUCAGCUUGUUGGUGGGGUAGUGGCUUACCAAGGCUUUGACGGGUAGCCGGCCUGAGAGGGGGACCGGCCACAUUGGGACUGAGAUACGGCCCAGAGUCCUACGGGAGGCAGCAGUGGGGAAUAUUGCACAAUGGGCGGAAGCCUGAUGCAGCAACGCCGCGUGCGGGAUGACGGCCUUCGGGUUGUAAACCGCUUUCGCCUGUGACGAAGCGUGAGUGACGGUAAUGGGUAAAGAAGCACCGGCUAACUACGUG